CCGAGUUUUCUAACUCCCAAACCCACUGUGAACCUUACCUUUUGUUGCUUCGGCGGGACCGCCCCGGGCCUCAGCCCCGGAACCAGGCGCCCGCCGGAGGUCUUUAUCAAACUCUUUGUCUCUUGUCUUUAGAACGUCUGAGUGGCCCAAUGGGCAAAAAAAUGAAUCA
This 169-nucleotide unclassified non-coding RNA is filed under the name uncultured Hypocreaceae. RNAcentral's name for it is "sequence contains ITS1". The record is from RNAcentral. Lineage: Eukaryota; Fungi; Ascomycota; Sordariomycetes; Hypocreales.